Pygocentrus nattereri (red-bellied piranha) is the source of this 577-nucleotide long non-coding RNA. The record is from Ensembl. Lineage: Eukaryota; Metazoa; Chordata; Actinopteri; Characiformes; Serrasalmidae.
GGAAGAGAAAAGCGGCUUCUUCAAUGCUCAGGGCUCAGAAAUAUCACAAGGCAAGCAAGUAGAAAACCAAACUUUCCUCCCCUGAAUCUCUCACAAGAAGAGUGGUGUGUUUUACCUGUCAGUACAACAUCUAUGCUGAAGCUCUGGACACUGUAACCUGUUUAGGAUGACAUAAAGAGGUCGACAUUUUGGACAGAGGGAGAUGGCCUGUGUGUUUGCUACCCAUUAUGUUUUCUGUGACAUGAGAUUCAAACAUCUCUAGCUAAGGUUAAAAUGCAAUUCACCCUGCUGUUUUCAACCAGACGCACACUGCAGCUAAAGAGCUAUAUUUACGUGCCAGUAUAGAGAUGGGAAUGUUGCUACGAACAAUCUUUCAUUCUGCGAGGUACUGAAUACCAGGCAGGACACUGAAUGUGCUAUAAUCAGGAUUAUGACGAGAGAGCACAUUGGCUCUAUAGAAAGUGACCCUGAAUUUUUUACAGCAAAUACUGAAUACUAAACUGAAUAUGCCCAGAGUCACACUGUGUUCACUGUUCUGAAACUGUGGAGAGCAACAGUGAUAAGACUGUGGUUUUAC